This 241-nucleotide ribosomal RNA is filed under the name uncultured bacterium. RNAcentral describes it as "partial 16S ribosomal RNA". It matches the Rfam family "Bacterial small subunit ribosomal RNA", at positions 30 to 257 of the family's 1533-position model. The record is from RNAcentral.
AUUGAACGCUGGCGGCAGGCUUAACACAUGCAAGUCGAACGGUAACAGGGGGUAGCUUGCUACUUUGCUGACGAGUGGCGGACGGGUGAGUAAGGUAUGGGAAGUUUAGCCCGAAUGGAGGGGGGACAACAGUUGGAAACGGCUGCUAAUACCGCAUAACGUCGCGAGACCAAAGGGUGGGACUUUCGGGCCACCUGCCGAAUUUGAUUGAGCCCAUAUGAGAUUAGCCUAGUUGGUGUGG